RNAcentral lists this ribosomal RNA (253 nucleotides) under uncultured bacterium. RNAcentral's name for it is "partial 16S ribosomal RNA". It matches the Rfam family "Bacterial small subunit ribosomal RNA", at positions 524 to 776 of the family's 1533-position model. The record is from RNAcentral.
UACGUAGGGGGCAAGCGUUGUCCGGAUUUAUUGGGCGUAAAGAGCGUGUAGGCGGCUUUACAGGUCCGUUGUGAAAACUCGAGGCUCAACCUCGAGACGCCGGUGGAAACCGUAAAGCUAGAGUCCGGAAGAGGAGAGUGGAAUUCCUGGUGUAGCGGUGAAAUGCGCAGAUAUCAGGAGGAACACCAACGGCGAAGGCAGCUCUCUGGGACGGUACUGACGCUGAGACGCGAAAGCGUGGGGAGCAAACAGG